CUCCAGUAAGUGACUGAGGUCAGUGGUCGAUCACAGGGGUGGACCUGCUGGGCCCAGGGCAGCCUUGAGUGCAUUGGUGGAGAGGGCUGCCCUGAGUUGUCCUGUGGGAGGACCACCUGGAGUUUCCAGGAAGGAAAGAAUAGUUGUGACUUUUCUUUUUCUUGUUUCCUUGAUUUUUAUCAGGAUGGUUUGCGAAGACUAUCAGGGAAUGAAUAUGUUCUUUCAACAAAAAACACUCAAAUGGUUUCAAGCAAUAUAAUCACUCCCAUCUCCCUUGAUGAUGUCCCACCACGGAUAGCUCGGGCCAUGGAAAAUGAGGAAUACUGGGACUUUGAUAUUUUUGAACUGGAGGCUGCCACCCACAAUAGGUGAGUUCAUGCAGAGCUCAGCAGCGGGAGAACUAGAUUCCCAGGGCCUGUGUGAGGAGGCUACCUGAGGAGUAUGGAUUGUGCACAAGCCUGGUACCUGGUCAGGGUGGGGCCCUAAGGAAGGAGUAGCAGGGCACCAGGUGGCUCUGAGUCACCAGGGCCUGGGGGAGAGUCUGCUGGCCACAGUGAU
This 558-nucleotide small RNA is filed under the name Pan troglodytes (chimpanzee). RNAcentral's name for it is "retained intron". Lineage: Eukaryota; Metazoa; Chordata; Mammalia; Primates; Hominidae. The record is from RNAcentral.